GAUCUUAGAAUGAAGGUUACCCCCACACCACAGCCACCAAUCCAACGCCGAGCAGACAUGAGGAGGAGGAGGAACAGGAGACCCAGGGAAGGAAAGCAGACCACAAUAAAUCACUGUACAAGUCAUCCCCAGAAUACAUCGAUUGGGAAAACGGGAAAAUCAUCAGAUCAUGAGGCGUUUUUUCCCGUUACCGAGGCCACUGUGGUCCCUGAACAACCUAGGAGGGGAGAGUCCUAGUGAAGGGAAUUCCACAACAUGAAAAGAACAUCACAAUGAAAAUUCUCCCUAUAUCUGUACAAGUCUCCCUCAGAACAUCGAUUGGAACAACUGACAAAUCUUCGACAUAACAUCAGACGUGCAGAGGCAUCUUUUGGCAACUUUCAAUGGAACCCUCCUUCAAGGGACAGCUCCAAAAACAUCGUGAGUGAUUUUU
This 433-nucleotide long non-coding RNA is filed under the name Sarcophilus harrisii (Tasmanian devil). Its description in RNAcentral is "lncRNA (ENSSHAG00000031938.1)". The record is from RNAcentral. Lineage: Eukaryota; Metazoa; Chordata; Mammalia; Dasyuromorphia; Dasyuridae.